RNAcentral lists this ribosomal RNA (468 nucleotides) under uncultured bacterium. RNAcentral describes it as "partial 16S ribosomal RNA". It matches the Rfam family "Bacterial small subunit ribosomal RNA", at positions 28 to 507 of the family's 1533-position model. The record is from RNAcentral.
GACGAACGCUGGCGGCGUGCUUAACACAUGCAAGUCGAACGGAAAGGCCCUGCUUUUGUGGGGUGCUCGAGUGGCGAACGGGUGAGUAACACGUGAGUAACCUGCCCUUGACUUUGGGAUAACUUCAGGAAACUGGGGCUAAUACCGGAUAGGAGCUCCUGCUGCAUGGUGGGGGUUGGAAAGUUUCGGCGGUUGGGGAUGGACUCGCGGGUUAUCAGCUUGUUGGUGGGGUAGUGGCUGACCAAGGCUUUGACGGGUAGCCGGCCUGAGAGGGUGACCGGCCACAUUGGGACUGAGGUACGGCCCAGACUCCUACGGGACGCAGCAGUGGGGAAUAUUGCACAAUGGGCGGAAGCCUGAUGCAGCAACGCCGCGUGCGGGAUGACGGCCUUCGGGUUGUAAACAGCUUUCGCCUGUGACGAAGCGGGAGUGACGGUAAUGGGUAAAGAAGCACCGGCUAACUACGUG